AGGCCGUGGAGCCGAUAAGCAGAGAUGAUUUCCCGUCGGAGUUUGUAUUUGGUUCAGGGACCUCAGCUUAUCAGGUUGAAGGGGCAGCGUUCGAGGAUGGAAGGUCUCCUAGCGUCUGGGAUACUUUCGCUCACUCUGGAAGAGUGGUGGAUAAAAGCAAUGGUGACGUAGCCUGCGAUGGGUAUCACAAAUAUAAGGUGACUUUACAUUUAGCUCUCAGUCCAGUAUUAUUUUUCUCAUUUUCUUAUCAUUGUUGGGAUUUCACAUGAAAGCAAUGAUCCCACAAGUUAGUAGUUUGAUGUGAAGAUUUAUAACGACUUGGACAUAUUUUUCCUUGCUAGUUAGCUUUUAAAAGGCGAGUUCUAUCUGUCCCAACAAAUGGUAUCAAAGUUGAAGUGUGGAAACUCCAAUGUGCCUCCAAGGAUGGAAAAUCCCUCAGAAAAUAUCUCAAUUCCCAUGUGUGAUCCGUGGAUAAGGAGAUUGUAGGAGUUCACGUAAAAACAAUAAUCCUGCAUCGGAUUUGAGUAACCUAAUACGGAGGCUUAUAAGGACUUAGACACCCUCUCCUUUAUAGAUGAUUUUUAAGGGCAAGUUCUAUAUGAGUCGUAAGAAGUGGUAUCUAAAGUGAGUUUAGCAAUGCAGUA
Long non-coding RNA from Macadamia integrifolia, 644 nucleotides. RefSeq lists it as uncharacterized. The transcript has 3 exons. The record is from RefSeq and is a predicted model, not a curated record. Lineage: Eukaryota; Viridiplantae; Streptophyta; Magnoliopsida; Proteales; Proteaceae.